This 658-nucleotide long non-coding RNA is filed under the name Fukomys damarensis (Damara mole-rat). RNAcentral's name for it is "lncRNA (ENSFDAG00000028546.1)". Lineage: Eukaryota; Metazoa; Chordata; Mammalia; Rodentia; Bathyergidae. The record is from RNAcentral.
UGGGGGAAGGGUAGGAAAAUGCCUGAAGGAACGAGAGCUAACGGUUUUCCAACUGUGAUGAAAACACUAUGCCCACAGAUGCAACACGCUCAAGCCCCAGGCAAGGUAAAGCAAAGAAGGUAAACUGUGUGAAGCCCAAGGGGUGCACUGUUUUAUCUUCCUCUGCACUGCAUGCAAUCCAGAGCCUGCUUUCUUAGCACUUAGGUCUUGGCGUGGAAAACACUUUCUCAGGCUACCCCACAUCUGUCCAAGUAUGCAGCAGCCACCACCGACACCUACCCCAGCCUUGCACUGGAGUUGAGCGCCCCCCAUCUCCAUGACAACCAUCACCCCAGCAAUGACACGCAAGGCAGCCUCCACCUGUGCGGCAGAAUGUGAUGCUGGGCUUGACACCUCAGAUACAGCAGUGAGUUUCUGGAAAGGUGUUGGUCAGAGCUUAGCUGCAGAGCCUCCCCUGCAAGGAGCUGAGGAUCUCGCCUGCCUCACUGCCGGGAGGGGAACCACAACAACAGGAACACACAGCACCAUGGCUGGACAAAUGCACUCAGCCGACGUGAACCACAGAGACACAAAGACCAGAACCACUCAUGGUGUAUUAAAAAAGGAGCAAGACCAUGUCUGAUCUGAACCUUCAAGGAUAAAGAAACUAAUGAUAGGC